AUCCCAUGGUGCGGACAUCUCUUUUGCAAAUCCUUGUAUCUCUCUCAUGCUUCAUACAAGCUCUCAUCAUCUCUAGGUCAAAAAGAAUUUAGCUCAUUUCUUAGCUU
Hevea brasiliensis (rubber tree) is the source of this 107-nucleotide small nucleolar RNA. The record is from RefSeq and is a predicted model, not a curated record. NCBI's taxonomy places the organism in Eukaryota, Viridiplantae, Streptophyta, Magnoliopsida, Malpighiales, Euphorbiaceae.